RNAcentral lists this ribosomal RNA (253 nucleotides) under uncultured bacterium. RNAcentral describes it as "partial 16S ribosomal RNA". It matches the Rfam family "Bacterial small subunit ribosomal RNA", at positions 524 to 776 of the family's 1533-position model. The record is from RNAcentral.
UACGAAGGGGGCUAGCGUUGUUCGGAAUUACUGGGCGUAAAGCGCACGUAGGCGGACUAUUAAGUCAGGGGUGAAAUCCCGGGGCUCAACCCCGGAACUGCCUUUGAUACUGGUAGUCUCGAGUCCGGAAGAGGUGAGUGGAAUUCCGAGUGUAGAGGUGAAAUUCGUAGAUAUUCGGAGGAACACCAGUGGCGAAGGCGGCUCACUGGUCCGGUACUGACGCUGAGGAGCGAAAGCGUGGGGAGCGAACAGG